AUACACACACACACACACACACGUAUAUAUAUACAUAUACAUACACACACACAUAUAAUAUUAUAUAUAUAUAUAUAUAUGUGUGUGUGUGUGUGUGUGUGU
Molecule: microRNA precursor, 102 nt
Filed under: Podarcis lilfordi (Lilford's wall lizard)
Lineage: Eukaryota; Metazoa; Chordata; Lepidosauria; Squamata; Lacertidae
Source: RNAcentral